UUGGUUGAUCGACAAAACGGUUGAAAUGACUCGAAUGAUUCCGCGAAAAGCAGUCUUUGUAGUGCCCUAUCAAACGAUAAGUUUGACUCGUUUGUUUAUGUUAUAAUCAUAUGAUUGUGAUGAUAUUUUUAGAUGCCGAAUCUUGAGAAUGAGGAAAGUGAAUCUCAACUAUAUCCUCAAAAUUGUUUACCAAAAUGCGAAAGUUAACACAACGCAAGCUGAACACUUCGAGAUACGAGAGAUCAUCUUUUUCUGUGCAUAAAUUUGCCGGUAUUUGUCUUUUCUACAAGUGCAGCAUCAUUUUGCUUGUAUCUGACGAGUACAUUUAUAUCUUAAGGUGAUAUAGUGAGCAAGGCACUUACUCUGCAACAAUGGGAAAUUGGAAAAAAGACUGGUGAAGAACGCACUCGGUUUAUCAAACACGUUCACGUUAUGAAAAAUAGAUCUUUAGCUGACUUGUUCAAGGAAUUAAAAAAGAUAGGUUUGUCGUACCGUAAAGGCAUAAACAUUUGCCAGCAAAACUCGUUGAAAAAUCCUAUGUUAGUUGAUACCUCUUACCUUUCAAAACGACUGAAAAACAUGGACAAUAUCAUGGAAGACAAAAAAUGUGGAUGUUUUGCAUCAUUGUGGGAAAGUUCGACAGAAUAUUAUCAAAAAUGUGUUUACCCCAACACUGCCGUGAACAACCUUCUUUCAUAGGCUUUGUUGGUUAUGAUCAUUUAUGGUUGGAAAAAUGAAGAGAUGUGGUAUUUGUAUAAUAAACGAAAGGAAGAACAAACGGCUAAUGAGAUGAAUCAGAAGAUAUGAUGAAAUUUGGUUCCGUGACUUCUGCCCAACAAGUUGUUGAGUCCGAUAACCUUUUGGCAUCAUCAGAGUUGCAGGAUCCAUCAGACAACAGGACUUUGGAAUCUGCAACACCCGCCGAACAAAGUGUUUUGUCAGGUGAAGUAGCAGAGUAAGAAAAGCAAAAGCCAAAUGCACAGUGACUCAAGUGU
This is an RNA transcript of Xenia sp. Carnegie-2017, 995 nucleotides long. It is a transcript of the gene named midasin-like, with no coding region annotated. Lineage: Eukaryota; Metazoa; Cnidaria; Anthozoa; Malacalcyonacea; Xeniidae. The record is from RefSeq and is a predicted model, not a curated record. The transcript is spliced from 9 exons.